GAAGCUUUGGCGUUCAACAGGGGGUGGAGUGAUGCAGUGUAGUUAAACCCGCCAGCAGCCUGUCCACCGAUCACUCGCACCAUGCUUCUCCACACAGGCUUUCCCUCAGUCCAGACUGACACACACACUCCACACUCACACACACACACACACGCACGCACACAAAUAUAUAUACAUUCAUUCUCUCUCACACACACAUACACACACAGACCGGCAUGUCCACAGGAUACUGCAAACAGCCGUCGGCAAGCGCACAGACUGAGGAGGAGCGUGUGAAGGAGAGAUGGAGAGAAAAAGAGGAAGGAGUCAAGCAAGAAAAUGAAAAGAGAGAGGGAGUCAGACAGCAUAGAGAGAGAGAGAAAAGGAGGGAGAGAGGGAGUGUGAGAGAAAGAGACAGAGAGUGAGGGAGUAAGAGCAACGGAGCGAGAGGGAGAGAAAAAGAGAGAGAGAGACAGACGGAGCAGAGACAAAGACUACUGCUUGAAGAGCUGUUUCCUGCAAGCCAUGUGCACAGCGGUGGAGUGUCGCACAACGGAAUGUGUCUGCUACUCCCGACUUAUCGCAUGGGCAACGGCGCUGGUGCGCAAGGGUGGAAGAACGUGGCCCUGCAGUUGAGUCAGACAAAAGGGCUUUGCGUUCUUUGAAGGGGAGUGGCCGCAUGUAGAAGAGUUGACGACCUCGCCUUGCCUCGUCGGUAGACCUGUCUCCUAAAGCACGGAGCGUCUGACAGCCUUUGAAGCGGAUCUCCGGCACCUAUAUAUCUCUCUCUCUCCCACUCUCUCUCUCUCUCCCACUCUCUCUCUAUCUCUCUCUCUCUCUCCCACUCUCUCUCCUUCUCUCCUCUACGACUCCUCUGAAGAGGCAGCAGGACGCAAGGGAAGUCGGGGACCCCUCACAGCAUGCAGGAAAUACUCCUUUCACCCAGACUGAAUGCUGUGGAAGUCUCUGGCUAAUGAAGCCCUGUGCUCGAAACCUCAACAUGAAGCUUGAGAAUGAAGCUUCCUCUGUACUCCAUUUGUUGAGAAAACGACACUCCCCGUCGGGUAGAGAGGAGGGAGAGAAAGAAAGUUCCAAGCAGUGUGCGCUCUGGACACUGGUGCCUGUGGUGGUGCCCGUGUGCUGCCCGUCUGGUGCCCGUGUGGUGCCCGUGUGGUGCCCGUGUGGUGCCCGUGUGCUGCUCAGUAGUCAGUGUAGAUCCUGUGUUGUAAUCAGCAGCUACAUCUGGCUACUGGGUCUCUCAUGGCGCACCCUCCGCUGCCCUCCGCCCCAUUCCUCCAUGAUUGUGCACUGUGUUAUCACUGACCUCGGAUGUCAUCAUGUGGCCCGGCAGAAGAAGACACACACACACCCACACUUACACACACACACACACACUCACUCUCCGGCAGGAAUUACAGUAGGCACUGGGCUUGGUUGAGUGUCGUUGCUCCUGUGACACUUUUUUUUUCUAAUACUGUUCCUCUUUUUUUUUCCUUCUUCUCCUUUUAGUGAAUGUGUUGCGCAGUUUACAAAUUUUGUCCUCACAGACUUCUUCUUCUUAUUCAUUCACUCUCUCUCUCUCUGUCAUUCACUCUCUCUCUCUGUCAUUCACUCUAUCUCUCUCUCCUCUCCUUCACUCUAUCUAUCUAUUUGCGUGUAUCUGCGCUAUCGACAAGCCAUCAGUUUGUCGAUUUCUUUUCUUUGAUUUCCAACGCAAUGCUCCUUUCCCAUUAAAGUGAUGAGAAACUGUCAGAGACGGUAGAGAAGAGAGCCUCCCCAGCUCUGAUUGAGACAAAGUGGCUAUUCGAACAGCAACAAAAGCAGCACUGCAGCAUUGGCCCCAAACAUUUAUAUUCCCAAAGGAGUCAUUUGAAUGAUUAAAAACACAAUGGGCGAGUCAUGAUGUCUCACUCUCAGUGAUUAUUUUGUCAGACGUACAGUUGAAGUUUGUUUUUUGAACGUCAUCUGUAAUGUUUUUUUUUUUUUUUUUCCAUCAUCCAUUUUCUUUUUCAUAUUGAGAUCUAACAUUGAUCAAUCUAGAAUGCAAGCGCAAAAAAAAAAAAGAGCGAAAUGAUUGUUUUAAGAAUGAUGAUUUGGGAGGGCGCCGAAGGCGCUGAAGGCACAACCAGUUUUUUUGGCUCCAAUCCUGGACCUGGCAUACAAUGUAGAUUUCUGUGUGGAUCAAGCUACAGCUACAUUGUCUGCUGGGUUUCAGGUGGUCGAAACAAUCCCCUCGUCGUGUGCUCCCCCUUCCAUAAAUCAAGCACGGUAAGUUCCUCUUCAUUGAUAUUCACAGUGCUUCUUUACUCUGCUGACCAAAAAAAAACAAUAAAAGUAAUGAAGAAGUCA
Molecule: long non-coding RNA, 2328 nt
Organism: Clupea harengus (Atlantic herring)
Lineage: Eukaryota; Metazoa; Chordata; Actinopteri; Clupeiformes; Clupeidae
Source: RefSeq, a predicted model, not a curated record